CCUACGGGAGGCAGCAGUGGGGAAUUUUGGACAAUGGGCGCAAGCCUGAUCCAGCAAUGCCGCGUGAGUGAAGAAGGCCUUCGGGUUGUAAAGCUCUUUUGUCAGGGAAGAAACGGUGAGGGCUAAUAUCCCUUGCUAAUGACGGUACCUGAAGAAUAAGCACCGGCUAACUACGUGCCAGCAGCCGCGGUAAUACGUAGGGUGCAAGCGUUAAUCGGAAUUACUGGGCGUAAAGCGUGCGCAGGCGGUUUUGUAAGUCUGUCGUGAAAUCCCCGGGCUCAACCUGGGAAUUGCGAUGGAGACUGCAAGGCUAGAAUCUGGCAGAGGGGGGUAGAAUUCCACGUGUAGCAGUGAAAUGCGUAGAGAUGUGGAGGAACACCGAUGGCGAAGGCAGCCCCCUGGGUCAAGAUUGACGCUCAUGCACGAACGACGGUGGGAGGACGAACGAGGAGUAGUAUACCCGUACGGUAGUACCGACCGACCCGUAACCGACGUAGUCUACUAGUUGUUCGGGUUUUAACGUUUAACGUUAGGUUAACGU
This 541-nucleotide ribosomal RNA is filed under the name uncultured bacterium. RNAcentral describes it as "bacterial SSU rRNA". It matches the Rfam family "Bacterial small subunit ribosomal RNA", at positions 338 to 858 of the family's 1533-position model. The record is from RNAcentral.